This 4542-nucleotide ribosomal RNA is filed under the name Triticum aestivum (bread wheat). RNAcentral's name for it is "partial small subunit ribosomal RNA". Lineage: Eukaryota; Viridiplantae; Streptophyta; Magnoliopsida; Poales; Poaceae. The record is from RNAcentral.
GAACCGACGUCGCGUCGUGUCACCAGAUGGGUUUUCUUCUUAGACAUGACGGUGACUCGAGUCGACGUAUAUACGCUACGGAACCACGAGGGAGGUGGUUUAAUUAUAAAAAGUAAAAGGGGGUGAGGUCUUUCGUCGUCGUGAGUGACAGCGGUAGUGGCAGCGACAGUCCACCGGGGGUGGCGUAGUGGCUUUUCUCCUUCUCGUCUAUAGUAGUAGUGGGUUUACCGUAUAUAUUUGGGGAAGUGGACGGAAGGACGGUUAAUAAAAAGAAGGUCCAAGGUCGCUGGCAGCCGGGGGCCUACAAAGGAGAUAAUCGUUAGGCGGGGAGUCUUCAAAGCCGGAGCAGUGGGCAGGUCACUAGUCACACGCACGCGCCUUUUCAUUAUCGUCGGUCCAGGGAGGCCACUAAUGGUGGACAGUGACCGGGCGAGCUGAGGGGAUUGGGGUUAGGGUUAGGGUCGGGGUCGGGAGGUGCGCACGCACGCGGCCGCUACGGCUGCGGCCACCGGCGCCGCGCCGUCACGGAGAGCGGCCGGCGGCAGUGGCGGGAGCUGCGCCGGCAGCAGAGGCGCGCGGCGGCGCGGGUGCGCGUCUGUUGGAGCGAGGUGGAGUAGAGGCGGGACGAGCGGGGAGGGCGGGGCGGCGAGGAGGCGCUGCGCGAGCGCGCCCGUGCGUCGCGGCGGAUGCGGGGCGCGCAGGUCGAGUUCCGCGAGCUCGAGACGAAGCGCCAGAGCGAGCUGUCCGAGGGGAGGCGGAGGAGACGGAGACCGCGGCUGCUGCGCCUCGGCGGGCAGAGGUUGAGCGAGUACCGCCGGCAGUUCGCGAGCGUCCGGUUGGUCGCGGCGUUGGGCCUGUGGAAGGUAAAGAUGGUGGUCCGCCGGUGGCGCGUCCGGGGGCGGCGGCAGUUCCAGCUCGAGAGCGUCGAGCACGAGCGGUAGGAGCUGCUGGGGGAGCAGUCGGCGCAGAAGCCGCUGCGCCCGAAGGUGUCGCCGCUGUAGUUCGAGCGGUAGGAGGCGGGACGCGGCGGGUACGGGUACGAGCCGGCGGAGGGGUGCGCCUCGGCGGGCGGCGGAGAGAAGGAGACGUCGAAGCGGCGGCGGCUGCUGCGGCUGCACGGAAGCGGUCGACGUCCCUCGGAGCGGCCGCCGUGGCCCCUCCUCUUGAAGGCGGCGUAGCCGCUCCAGGAGCGGGCUCCGGCGUUGGGGUACGAGCAGCCGCAGCCCCGGCGGAGGCGGCGACGGCUGAAGCGGCGGGAGAGCGGCAUGGCACAGGAGGGGCAGCCAGGUUCGAGGUAGCUGGUCUGCCUCGAGCCGCACCGCCGGCGGUACCGUUCGCGGUGGAGGCCGGAGUACUAUUCGUAGCCACUGGAGUUUCUUGACCAGGGGUUGCUGCCGCUCGAGGUCCUCUACCCCGCGGCCCACCACCGCCUCCACUGCGCUCACGACCUCUGCGUGUCUCGACCGGCACAGACCCACUACCCGACCAGCCGGUGCAUGCUCUGGAUGGAGUGGAAGAACAGGUUUAAGGGGAACGAGCUGUUCCUAACCCUCGAGGUCGACGACGGCUAGUGCCGUCACGCGCGGCCUCCGUCGGGGCGACGCGAGUAGGGAGUCCGUUGGUGGCGGCGCCGAAAGAGGUUCGGACGUUCGAAAUACCUACGCGAGGAAGGAAAACCCCCUGAACAGUCGCUAUGGAUGCUUCGAUUGUCGGAGUGUCGUUUAAGAACAGGAGGCCGGGAAGCCACAGUUGUCACGUUACUAUCUAUGCUCGUUCUUCAACGAUGAUAGUAAUCUCCUUCACCGUAAUGUCGACUUCUGGUAGUGGUCCCUCCAGAUGGAAGCGACGACGUCUUACCGUCGUGCUAUCCACGAUUGUUACCUAAACUACGUCAGUUCAAAAAGAAGUCACGUCCAAUCUCUAGUCUACCAUAACUUAAGUUUUUAUAGCUUAGAUGUCUUCUUCACCUUGCUCAUGACGGACGCCGAGGUGGUUCCGACGGUAUCCUAGUUGUCACAAGGUAUGGUCAAUAAAGGCGUAAUAUAACCACAAGGUCGGUUACCCCUUUCUCGUCUUUUAGACUCGUUUCCAAGACUUAGUCAACGUGAAGUUUCCCUCCAAUAAUCUGGAAGACAUCACAGACAAGGUGUAUGGUUACGAUGGUGUUUCUCAUAAAGUGGGGGUAGAUAGAGAUUGGUUUCCUUACUGUUGGAAUGUAACCUCGAAGUUCGACCCAAAAGUUUCUCACUACUUUUCGUCAGGGUUGUACUUUGGGACAGUAUGACAGUACUAGUAGUGCUUCUAGUGCACAGUGGUAGUAGACGGCAUAGACACCGUUGACUGAACCAAAAUCCGUGCGGAGUACUUAGAAGAAGGUUCCCGUGUUUAAGACGGUCGACGUUUGUACAUCGACUACGUCUCUAUAGACAUGGGUUCUUUCAACUAUUAAACUUAGACUUCGGAGGCGUCUAGAAACGCGUUGGGAAACGAACAAGGUUCUCAAGGUGUUUAUACCCCGUUUGUAGUGGAUCACGAGUCGUAAGUCGUCGAAGACCUCCAAACAGACGAAAACCAGUAACCGUCUUUGGAAGUGUGGAGCGUCGUGUUCCAAGACUAAACUCAUUAAUGUUCGAUGAACACCUUGCGAACAAGGUCCAACAACCUUCCGUCCUCCUUCGGAACUCACGAUAAACACCAAGGUAACACGCCACGUUCAGUUACCUCUCCGCGGCACCACGUUCGUCCUUCUUACUGUACACCAAAUCGAAAGUACCAAGACUAACGUACCGGUUUGCGUCUCAACGAAACCGCGAACGUCUCGAGCAUGUACCGUCGUUUCUCUUGUACUAAAUAGACCUGGACUCAGAGUUCCUAACCCGACUGAGUUCAAUGUCUCCUUUCUGACCGUGACUGAUAUAACAACUGCUCGACUCGUUCUUUGCCGCUAGACAGUAGAAGGAACUAUUACAGCUAUUUCGACUGACGGAAGAGGUCCUGUGAGACUGAGUACGGUCAUUCUGACCAUCUAAGGCUCUGAACGCACCGUUCCUUCAACUGUAAUUACUGAGGUAACAACACGACAGUUGUUCUUGUUGGUCUCCGAGGUUUUCGCACAGACAACCUUACCUUCUCCCAGAAUGAAAGUGACUUCUAUUCUAGGACCGUCGAUCACCUGUAGUUGACUUCUAGGACCAUCUUAGUACAUGCCGCUAGUGGCCACUUCCGGUGCCACUAUUCCACUAUCAAAGGGGGCCCGUGGGAGAUCGGUUUUAAGUACGUAGAAACAUGACACCCCCAAGUCAGUCGUUCGCUUUCAAGUUGUAAAGACUACUGGUUCUUUUCGACGUCGUUCUUAGUGGCUCGUAAAGGUUCGCUGACGUGUCUUGUAGUUCACAAGGCAAGCUGGACUUGGAGGGGUAGCUGCUCCUACCAAGCUCGCUACGACUACUGGUGUCGCCGUCGUUACUGUUGAGUAUACCGUGAGGCCUCUCUAGGUACCUGUCGGAGAACACAAACCAACUGCUCAGGUAGCUAAAGUUCGGUAAGCUGAAACUGUUUCAGCGGCUGAUGCAUGACGUCCUCAACUCGUUAUGUGAGGCGUUUCAAGACCCGAGGCCGACGUGUAACCUUUAACUACAGCCACGUUACCUCGUUUAUUAACGUCGCCGUACCCGUAGUCUCCCGUUCUCCGGAGAGGUCCGGACCGACCUAGUCCACAAGCGACCUUCGGAACCCCUUGACUUCCAGUUCACACCAUUCGUACGGUCGUCAAGGUGAGAAUAUGAUCACCGGACACUCCUGUACCGUCGUCAGUCCCUUCUGUUACCAAAACCUCCAAACGAGAGGAGGUCUUAUUAAGAUCUUACCACUUUACUACCAUAGACAUAUCGCUAUUAACAUUAAUAAAGAUCGAUAAUCAGGUGUUAUCAUAUCGUAAUAAAACGGCCCUUUAUUAAACAUCGUAUCAACUACUACGUAACGGAAGUAUAUAUAGCCGUUCAUAUAUAACUAACAUUGUGAACACCUAAACGGUUAUAUAGUGACAAUAUAUACCACUACGUCUCCAUCUCAUGACUUCAGGUAUUAGUCACCCAUUAAGGUCCAAACCGGUUGAAGAGGACGAUUAAACAUCCAAGUAUAACUUUAUACAUUUACGAUCACCGAGUGUAAGAUGAAUCGUAGAUUCUCAAACCGGUUGAACAAAACGUUGCUUCCAAGUUUAACUUUUAAAAUUCCAAUCACCCGGUUGUAAAGUAUAAAAGUCACAACCCUUAAAACGGUUGAACAAUACGAAUACCACCACAUCCAAGUACAACUUUAAACAUUAUUAAUACGUAUUGGGACAAGGUCGUUAGAUCAAUCAGAUCAUGUGUUUCUACUCAUCGGGUAGACAUGUGAGAUUAAUCGUUCGUAUAUUGAGUCUAGUCUUUUUGCCGCGUCUCGUGAAUUAGACCGAGUGUUUUAAUUACGGGUGAGAGGGUCCGGGCCGCGUAUGUUUGAGGUCUGACUAGUUAUCAGAUUCUUCCAAGUAAUUAAACAAUG